GGGUAGCAUCCGAAAGCUGAGAUGUUAACUGAUACAAUCUUCCUACAUAAAAACUCUGUAAUUUCCUGCUUGUGGUUCUAGAGCAUGUUCUGCGAGUCUCAAAUUACAAGAUACAUGA
Cornus florida is the source of this 118-nucleotide small nucleolar RNA. RefSeq annotates it as small nucleolar RNA snoR104. Lineage: Eukaryota; Viridiplantae; Streptophyta; Magnoliopsida; Cornales; Cornaceae. The record is from RefSeq and is a predicted model, not a curated record. The transcript has a single exon.